Molecule: unclassified non-coding RNA, 332 nt
Filed under: soil metagenome
Description: partial contains 5.8S ribosomal RNA, internal transcribed spacer 2, and large subunit ribosomal RNA
Rfam family: 5.8S ribosomal RNA (bases 1-120)
Source: RNAcentral
GAUGAAGAACGUAGCAAAAUGCGAUAAGUAAUGUGAAUUGCAGAAUUCAGUGAAUCAUCGAAUCUUUGAACACACAUUGCGCCCGCCAGUAUUCUGGCGGGCAUGCCUGUUCGAGCGUCAUUUCAACCCUCAAGCACAGCUUGGUGUUGGGACUCGCGUUAAUUCGCGUUCCCCAAAUUGAUUGGCGGUCACGUCGAGCUUCCAUAGCGUAGUAGUAAAACCCUCGUUACUGGUAAUCGUCGCGGCCACGCCGUUAAACCCCAACUUCUGAAUGUUGACCUCGGAUCAGGUAGGAAUACCCGCUGAACUUAAGCAUAUCAAUAAGCGGAGGA